AGUGAACGCUGGCGGUAGGCCUAACACAUGCGAGUCGAACGGCAGCACAGUAAGAGCUUGCUCUUACGGGUGGCGAGUGGCGGACGGGUGAGGAAUACAUCGUAAUCUACUUUUUCGUGGGGGAUAACGUAGGGAAACUUACGCUAAUACCGCAUACGACCUACGGGUGAAAGCAGGGGAUCUUCGGACCUUGCGCGAUUGAAUGAGCCGAUGUCGGAUUAGCUGGUUGGCGGGGUAAAGGCCCACCAAGGCGACGAUCCGUAGCUGGUCUGAGAGGAUGGUCAGCGACACUGGAACUGAGACACGCUCCCGACUCCUACGGGAGGCAGCAGUGGGGAAUAUUGGACAACGGGCGCAAGCAUGAUCCAGUCAUACCGCGUGGGUGAAGAAGGCGUUCGGGUUGUAAAGACCUUUUGUUGGGAAAGAAAAGCAGCAGGCUAAUACCACGCUGUUCUGACGGUACCCAAAGAAUAAGCACCGGCUAACUUCGCG
This 492-nucleotide ribosomal RNA is filed under the name uncultured bacterium. Its description in RNAcentral is "partial 16S ribosomal RNA". It matches the Rfam family "Bacterial small subunit ribosomal RNA", at positions 29 to 507 of the family's 1533-position model. The record is from RNAcentral.